GUUAGGGUGGCAGAGCCUGGUAAUUGCAAAAGGCCUAAGCCCUUUAAGCAGAGGUUCAAAUCCUCUCCCUAACU
RNAcentral lists this transfer RNA (74 nucleotides) under Rasbora jacobsoni. RNAcentral describes it as "tRNA-Leu". It matches the Rfam family "tRNA". Rfam says of the family: Transfer RNA (tRNA) molecules are approximately 80 nucleotides in length. Their secondary structure includes four short double-helical elements and three loops (D, anti-codon, and T loops). Lineage: Eukaryota; Metazoa; Chordata; Actinopteri; Cypriniformes; Danionidae. The record is from RNAcentral.